RNAcentral lists this long non-coding RNA (1124 nucleotides) under Mytilus galloprovincialis (Mediterranean mussel). Lineage: Eukaryota; Metazoa; Mollusca; Bivalvia; Mytilida; Mytilidae. The record is from RNAcentral.
AUAAUAUUAAUCUAAAAUACAUACAUAUGUAAAAUUUUGUAGUUAUCAAGAAUAACUUUAACAAUAAUAAAUACAAGUACAAAAUAUGGCAACAAACAAAUAAAUAUAACAUAUUACCAGAAAUCCUCAUCAUUACAUACUAUGUAUGAUAGGUUCAAUUCUGUUCUAUACAAAUCAAAACUUUCCAUACUUUUCUCAUAUUCAGACUAGACUAUAUAAUCUUAUUUAUUUUUCGCCUUAAGUCUUAAUCAAACAACAACAAUCUUUAUUCUUAUCUAAAAAUUCAUUAUUGUCUCAUUUAACACGUUUAAGGGGGUAGACCUUGGUUCAGGGAGAUAACUCUUUAAAUCAGUUAUGCGUUUGUAAAAGUCAAGUUUCAUCAAUGUAUUUUAAGCAUUUACCUGAAACAGAUUGAAAAUAGUCUAUGUAACCUAGAAGCUUAGAAUAUAUUUUUGAAAAUGGUUGACACAAACGUAUGGAUGAUUUGAAGAGUUAUUUCCCUUAACCUAGGUCUACCUCCUUAAGCCAAAAAUAUAUUAUUUUUUCAAUGUAGAUUUAUCAUUGAUCAUGGGAUACCAAUCCAUGUAAUAAUAUAAUGAGAUAUCUCGGUUAAAUUAUAAAACAGGUUCAUCAAGUGAAAAUAAAGAUUGGUCCAACUCUUACUGCUAUAAUUUCAAACUAGUUGAUCAAAACAUAAAAAUAAGGGGAUAGGGUAUGAUACCUAAUGAGAAAACUAUGCACAGGAGUCCUAAUGAUGUUGAUGUAUGCAACAAUGAGUCACUGCAUGACCUUCAAUAAUGUGUAACCCAUACUGUUAAAUCACGUUUAAAAUGCUCAACAUGAAAUUUUAACAAGAAAACCAACCUUAGAAGGUUCAUAAAAUUUCUCAAACUUUUUACUCUUUUUUUAGUGAUGCCUCUCAACUUUCCAAAACUUAGCAUAAAAUAUUUCAAACAGUAACCAUAAUAUUUCUACAAAAUUUACAUUAUAAAUAUGAUUAUAAUGCAGUGUUUUAAAAUUCUUGUUAUUUUUAAUACAUUGAAUAAUACUUAAAUAUUUUUUCCCAUAUGAAUAUUUUAGAUACCAAUUCCUUUUGAUAAAAAAAUUCCGAAAUUUUAAAAAUC